AACCCAACUUGCUAUUUCCUGGAGGUUUCCUGAACCUAAACCUUCGUUAACAUCCCAGGAAGAGAACAUAUUUUUCCUGUGGCUUUCAAUAUUUUCUGCUAAAUAUAUUUCGGCGCACUGUUUAUCUAGGGUUUCAGCUUUCAGACCUUUAUGUACUUUUGUCACCUUGAGGCUGUUCCACUGAAAAAUGGGGUAUGUUUAUUAAAGAGGACUUUCUGUGCUGGGCCCUAAGGUAGUGGGAAUGUCUGUUUGGGUCUGUCUGUAUGAGGAGGGCUUCAAGGGGAGGCCCAAGUCCAAGGCACGUUUGAUUUGUGGAGCCCUUUUGACAAUGCAGGCCCAACAUAGCUCAGACGAACCCUUUAAUACAGCAGAAUGUUGAACCAAAUGAGUAUUUCUUCCUAAGUGCACGGCUGACAUGGAGGCCCAGACAGGAGAGACUGAAAAUGCCCCAGCUUCCUGGGACUUCGCUGUGAUUGCUUUUAAUGCGCCUCUCCCUGGGUGUCUGCUUAUGAUUGUCACGGCAAUUCUGGCCAGGGUGACGCGCUCUGUCUCACUGGAAUUUCCUGACUUCAAGUAGCCCCUUCCAAAUAAAUAAAUUAAUCAAUAAAAGCCAUCUGCUUCACCUGGCCGGCAGGCACAGCACUGGAAGGGGUGGCGCUGAACGCGAUUUUUUAGGAGCGGUUGGCCCUUGAGACGUUUCGAGCAUGUGACCAGAAUGCUGCCAGCUAAUUUUAACCCCACUGAAGAACUGCUGGAAAAAAACAAAACGCAACAAAAAAAAAACCUAUCUUGCAUCUGGAGAGAGAACUGCUGUGGGCUGGAUAAAAGCUUUUUCAGCCUGCAUUCCUUCCUGUUUCAGUUUCCAAACUUGUAUUAUCGGUAACCUGAAAAAUGAUGUUUCACCAAAUUCCUGGAUAUUGCACAAGAGGACAAUGAGUCUAUUUCGGGUGCUAUGAGUGUGUCUGGCACAGACCCUGGGAGCCAUUGUUUUCAGGAGGGAGAAUGCUUUGGGGUUUCCUGGUGCUUUCCUUCUAGGGUCUCAAAGCCCCCAAAGCAUCAGGAAUUAAUGGAGGACGUCAUGGAGUCCCUCACCUUGGAUACUGGCUUCUCAAAGCAUUCCUGUGGCGGUUAAUUGUUGCUUCUGGCUGGGUGGCUGGUGAUGCUGGUGACAAGGUGCAGAAUCUCAAGAGCCAGGAAAUUUAGAGGCUUGGAUCAGAUAGUGUGUAGCUAGGCAGCUGCUGCCAGCUGUGCUAAAACCAGGUAGUGAGGUGGGCUGUCAUUAACCUGAGGGUCUACAAGGCAGUCCCAGCAGAUCAGCUCAUGGCGAAGAGACUGAGGGGAAAGGCCCCAGUUCAUGCUGCAGCCCUCCCGGCAACCAGGAGGGCUUGGUGGCAGUUGUUCUGACAGCUGCUGAGGGCUUCAGCUGCCGAAAAAGCCAUUUGCUCAGGCCUACCCUGUCUGGCCAACUUCUACGUAUUUAAAGGCUCCUCCUUGGUCUCUGAGGCCCCCCCUCUCCACCUGAGUCCUCAGGCAAAGACGCGUCUUUGGAAGCACCGGCAACCGCCUGGGAGACCUUCGCCCCGUCGUCUGCCUGUCCACUGCUGCUGUAACCUGCCCACAGUCAUCAAGAUCAGUUAGCAAAUUCCCAAAUUAAGAUUCUGUUGACUUUGUUGUUCCAAAGGCUUGUUUUCAGCAGGAUGUUGUGCUUUAAUUAAAAAUAUGAGAGCUCAUGAGUAAGUAAAACUAUUUCUGAAUCUUCGCAAGGAUGUCUGAAUUGCGUUUCUUGCAUCUCACCGCAGGGGUUCAGCUCUCUAAGACCACUGAAAACUUUCUCUGUCCUCAACAGCUGGCUCUUCCCCAUUGCAGAAUUGAAAGGGGAGCCCUGAGUCAAGAAUCUGCUCCUUGUGCUUCUCCGCUUGCAGAUUUU
RNAcentral lists this long non-coding RNA (1927 nucleotides) under Equus asinus (donkey). RNAcentral's name for it is "lncRNA (ENSEASG00005030250.1)". Lineage: Eukaryota; Metazoa; Chordata; Mammalia; Perissodactyla; Equidae. The record is from RNAcentral.